RNAcentral lists this ribosomal RNA (778 nucleotides) under Francisella sp. AC122-M5. RNAcentral describes it as "bacterial SSU rRNA". It matches the Rfam family "Bacterial small subunit ribosomal RNA", at positions 59 to 832 of the family's 1533-position model. The record is from RNAcentral. Lineage: Bacteria; Pseudomonadati; Pseudomonadota; Gammaproteobacteria; Thiotrichales; Francisellaceae.
CAGUCGAACGGUAACAGGAGAAGCUUGCUUCUUGCUGACGAGUGGCGGACGGGUGAGUAACGCGUAGGAAUCUGCCCAUCUGUGGGGGAUACCAGUUGGAAACGACUGUUAAUACCGCAUAAUAUCUGCGGAUUAAAGGUGGCCUUUGUGCUGCCGCAGAUGGAUGAGCCUGCGUUGGAUUAGCUUGUUGGUGGGGUAAAGGCCUACCAAGGCUACGAUCCAUAGCUGAUUUGAGAGGAUGAUCAGCCACAUUGGGACUGAGACACGGCCCAAACUCCUACGGGAGGCAGCAGUGGGGAAUAUUGGACAAUGGGCGAAAGCCUGAUCCAGCAAUGCCAUGUGUGUGAAGAAGGCUCUAGGGUUGUAAAGCACUUUAGUUGGGGAGGAAAGCUUAUGAGUUAAUAGCUCAUAAGAAGGACGUUACCCAAAGAAUAAGGACCGGCUAACUCCGUGCCAGCAGCCGCGGUAAUACGGGGGGUCCGAGCGUUAAUCGGAAUUACUGGGCGUAAAGGGUCUGUAGGUGGUUUGUUAAGUCAGAUGUGAAAGCCCAGGGCUCAACCUUGGAACUGCAUUUGAUACUGGCAAACUAGAGUAUGGUAGAGGAAUGGGGAAUUUCUGGUGUAGCGGUGAAAUGCGUAGAGAUCAGAAGGAACACCAAUGGCGAAGGCAACAUUCUGGACCGAUACUGACACUGAGGGACGAAAGCGUGGGGAUCAAACAGGAUUAGAUACCCUGGUAGUCCACGCUGUAAACGAUGAGUACUAGCUGUUGGAUUCGG